UACGUAGGGUGCAAGCGUUGUCCGGAAUUAUUGGGCGUAAAGGGCUCGUAGGCGGUCCGUCACGUCGGGAGUGAAAACUUGGGGCUUAACCCCAAGCCUGCUUCCGAUACGGGCGGACUAGAGGUAGGCAGGGGAGAACGGAAUUCCUGGUGUAGCGGUGAAAUGCGCAGAUAUCAGGAGGAACACCGGUGGCGAAGGCGGUUCUCUGGGCCUUACCUGACGCUGAGGCGCGAAAGCCAGGGGAGCAAACGGG
RNAcentral lists this ribosomal RNA (253 nucleotides) under uncultured bacterium. RNAcentral's name for it is "partial 16S ribosomal RNA". It matches the Rfam family "Bacterial small subunit ribosomal RNA", at positions 524 to 776 of the family's 1533-position model. The record is from RNAcentral.